This 73-nucleotide transfer RNA is filed under the name Paramuricea clavata. It matches the Rfam family "tRNA". Rfam says of the family: Transfer RNA (tRNA) molecules are approximately 80 nucleotides in length. The record is from Rfam by way of RNAcentral. Lineage: Eukaryota; Metazoa; Cnidaria; Anthozoa; Malacalcyonacea; Plexauridae.
GACCGCGUAGCUCAGUUGGCAGAGCAUUGGGCUGGUAUUCCAAAGGUUGUAGGUUCGAUUCCCACCGUGGUCA